Molecule: ribosomal RNA, 301 nt
Filed under: uncultured bacterium
Lineage: Bacteria
Description: partial 16S ribosomal RNA
Rfam family: Bacterial small subunit ribosomal RNA
Source: RNAcentral
CAGUCGCCGCGGUAAUACGGAGGGGGCUAGCGCUGUUCGGAAUCACUGGGCGUAAAGCGCACGUAGGCGGCUAUUCAAGUCAGGGGUGAAAGCCCGGGGCUCAACCCCGGAACUGCCUUUGAAACUGGAUAGCUUGAAUCUUGGAGAGGCGAGUGGAAUUCCGAGUGUAGAGGUGAAAUUCGUAGAUAUUCGGAAGAACACCAGUGGCGAAGGCGACUCGCUGGACAAGUAUUGACGCUGAGGUGCGAAAGCGUGGGGAGCAAACAGGAUUAGAUACCCGUGUAGUCCCUGUCUCUUAUAC